This is a long non-coding RNA of Lemur catta (Ring-tailed lemur), 1458 nucleotides long. RefSeq lists it as uncharacterized. The record is from RefSeq and is a predicted model, not a curated record. Lineage: Eukaryota; Metazoa; Chordata; Mammalia; Primates; Lemuridae. The transcript is spliced from 2 exons.
CCGAGCGGCCGCCGUAGCGGUGCGCGCAUGCGCACCGGCUGCCCCCCGCGGCCCGAGCUGCUAAACGCGGGGAACGGGCGUUAGGGGCGUGUCCGUCCCGCCGGUCGUGAGGUCCGCGGUGGUCGCGGGCGGGGACACGGCGUGGGAUGGGCGCCUCCGCACCGCGCGCAGACCCAGCUUCCGGCCGGACCCCGCAGGGCAGCGCCGGAGGUGGUUGUGCUGGCCCGGCGGGGCGGCAGGGCCCCUCCCGCACAGCCCGGCCCGGGUGGGAGCGGCUCGUGCCCGGCCCCGGUGCCGCGGGGCUCUCGGCGCGGACCGCGGAGGCGGUGCCAGCUGCUCUUGGCCGGUGCCGGGCGGGCGCUUUGUCGUCGUUCGCCACCGUGUUAAGAAGGGAGAUGAAAAAUUAGAGCCGCCUGUCCCAUGCGGGCUGCAGAGAAGCUCGGCUUUCCAAAACAAAGCUCUGGAAAUGCCCAGGAUAAAAGAGCAGCAAGAGCUUGCCCAGGGCCCAGGAGUCAGUAUUGCCCAGGAAGUCUUCUGCCUCCAAAGUCCAGUGAGAAACGGCAUGUAAGUAACUGGUCAGCCUUCUUUAGAUAAGGCUGUUGCGCAUAUACUGAAUUCCCAGUUCUGAGUGUCCUUUUUGCUAACAGGAGACACUGGGUACAGUGAACUUAAAGCAACCAAGAAACUUAAAAAAAUCUUGUUCUGGGAUAUAGUUUUUCAUGAUUGGUCUCAAGGCUACAUGAAAUCAAGAAGCAGAUUACCAGAGUACAGCAGUCUCAUACCCUUUCCCACUGCUUCUACACAUUGGUUUUGCAAGUGCUCGGGGCUUUGUGUGGAGACAAAGCGCCACAGUGGGAAGCUUCCCGGGACCCUCCCAGUGAGCCAGGUACGAGAUCAGUCCACUUCUGCAGGGCCGGGCAGCCCUCGGGAGCACAGACCGCGUGACUUGAUUUGCACGCACUUUGGCUGCAUGUGCUCAUUCACAGCUUCCCUCUCACCUCGGAUGAAGCUUCUGGCCAGCAUGAAUUACCUUACCAGUCUCUCUGCCUAUUUUCUCCUCAGGAGUAAGAGAAAAGGUCACUGAACCAGUUUGUUGCCUUGAUUUUUAUCAGGGACCUUUCCUGCUCCAAUCUCUGUAGUAUCUGCUGCUUCGUCCCUGGCUCUGCAGGCUCCCAGCUGGGCUGACCCACAGGGUCUCCCCCUUUGGGACCCAGCAAGCCUUUCUGAGGGGGGUGUGGAAGCCCCCCUGCCCCUUACUCAGUACUGAAGGCUGGCAGGAUGGGAGCUCCUCCAAGGUGACAAAAGGAAGAGAAAGAUCCAAAACCAUCAACACCUGAUGGUGGCCAACUCAGGAGGGAUGAACUGUGAGGCUUCCAGCUGCUACGCUCAGUGUCUGUGAAGCUUGAAUUUCUUACAAGCAGCAUUGCUUGUAUAAUAAAGUAGCACAAGUUGUUUUAA